CGAGCGGCGAACGGGUGAGUAACGCGUGGAUAACCUGCCCUGAGUGGGGGAUAACCAAGGGAAACUUUGGCUAAUACCGCAUGACACCGAGAGGUCAAAGGGGGCUCGCAAGGGCUCUCGCCAUAGGAGGGGUCCGCGUCCGAUUAGCUAGUUGGUAGGGUAAUGGCCUACCAAGGCGACGAUCGGUAGCCGGCCUGAGAGGGUGAUCGGCCACACUGGAACUGAGACACGGUCCAG
RNAcentral lists this ribosomal RNA (237 nucleotides) under uncultured bacterium. RNAcentral's name for it is "partial 16S ribosomal RNA". It matches the Rfam family "Bacterial small subunit ribosomal RNA", at positions 92 to 334 of the family's 1533-position model. The record is from RNAcentral.